This 23-nucleotide non-coding RNA is filed under the name Mus musculus (house mouse). Lineage: Eukaryota; Metazoa; Chordata; Mammalia; Rodentia; Muridae. The record is from RNAcentral.
GGGAUUUGAACUCAGGAUCUUCA